This is a long non-coding RNA of Hypanus sabinus (Atlantic stingray), 4549 nucleotides long. RefSeq lists it as uncharacterized. The transcript is spliced from 5 exons. The record is from RefSeq and is a predicted model, not a curated record. NCBI's taxonomy places the organism in Eukaryota, Metazoa, Chordata, Chondrichthyes, Myliobatiformes, Dasyatidae.
AGCCAAACCUGCAAAAACAUUGGAGAGAGUGGAAAGGAGAACCAUGAGACUAAUUCCUGGGAUGAGAGGGUCUCUACCCCACAAUAGAGACAAACCAUUUUUCUGUGGUCCUUGAAGUUUAGAUGCCGUGUGGUUACCUUGUUCAAACUCCUGUGAGGCAACAAGCUGUGGUCCCUAUUACAACAUAGUCCGGGACACGUGUGGGAAUUCUUCCGCUGUGUGAAAUGGUGAGUAGGAGCUCAGGACUGGGAUGAAAGUUCUGGAGGAGAACCCGUGCCACUGCAAUGCUGCUCUUCCUGUGAGGACUUAAGUGCUACUAGCAGGGGUUAGAGGAUUGCCUGGUACACGGACAGAAAUACAUCCAAAACCACCAGACACACACGGGACAGGAAGGUAGGGACAGUACGAAGUGGAAAGUGCUGUACCCAGAGCUGAUAUACCAGCGGUUUAGUCCAGUGGGCGGGACAGACACACCUUCUACAGCAAUGCCCUAACAGCUGAUACUCAGCCAUUUAGAAGGUGGAACCGCACAGAUAGAAGAUUGCGAGAGAGGAGUUGGUGACUGAACCGAGGUUAUUCCAUGGACAGAACGUGCUUGCGUACCACACCUCGUCGCAAACUUUAAGAACAAAAUUUGUGUUACGUAAUGCAAUCUAAUCACGUAUAUUGCAGACAGACCGACGAUGGAUGACUCGACACGAAUUUGUGUACUAAUGUACUUCAGAAGAUUAGAGAGAUUCUUAUCGACAGGAUCGGAUCCAGAGGAGGUUCCUGCUCCGGUGGGUAUAAUCUUCUUCUCGCUGUUCGCACAUCACACUUCAUUGUAAACUUCUAACCAGUAAAAUCAGUGACGUGUCUGAUGUGUUCCUGGGGUGGCAGUUAAGGGUGGGGGAUAGCUUGUGGGGAGUAGGCUGAGAGAACUGUAUCCGGUCAGUCAGUAACAGCACCGAGAGCAGCAGCAGAGAAGGAGCACCCCUGGGCUCAGAGGUCAGUUUUUCACCAAUACCCAGUUAACAAGGCUCGGACUGAAGUGCGUGUUCUCCAGUUGGACAGGGGAAUAUCCUGCAGGGCGGUGAGAGCCCGUCUGUACUGAGCGAGGGAUUGACUGUGCUGUCCAUCUGCAGCCAAGAAAAGAACGCGAGGAGCUCGGGGAAACUUCAGUGUAAUGGUGAGAUAUGAGGGCUGUGGAAGUGGGGCUGGGUGCAAUGUUUCUUCAGUGUACAGGCCGCUGCCUCCCGAUGACGUAGCCCGAAGCUCAGCUUUGGCUUCUCAGCAUGCCUGAGUCGCGCUCCACACUUUCUCCCGUAUCAUCGGUGCCUCACGUAAUUAUGUUAGUUUUUCAUUCCCUUCCGAACCGUAUAACCACCUGGAACCUGCUCCGGCCCUUCACCCAUACACAGCUUCGUGAGUCGUUCCAGACCGAUACCCUUCCCUGUCUCCGGGUACCCGCCAGUCGAGCAUUCCGGAGAUCGUUGUCUCAUUUUUAACUACAUUGUAUUUGCGGUUUAUUGAAUGGUAAUAAACUGAAUCUGCCAGUCCGUGUCGUUACCUGUAGAAUUUACCUCUAGUCAUCGUCACCUUUGAGGGUUUCUGUUGACUGCUGCGUCUUUCCUCCUAAAUAAUCCUGAGUAGGUAUGAUCCCGGGGAUUUGUUCAUUUAAGAGGAAGGGUCUGCAUCGAGUUAGCGUCUUCCCAGUUCUUGCAAUGUACUGCCCUAUUUAACGCUAAACUGUACAGUACUUAACUGUGAUGGGAGGUGUGCUUUGGUGCACAGCAAGCUGCCAGAAACAUCAGUGAGUCAGUCAACUAGGAAUCCCGCUGCAAUACAGUCAGAGGCACGGGUGAGGUCCCUUGCUCGGUGUGCAAUGGGGUGCGGGAUUUUUAUGUGUACCUGAAAGGCGACAUAGGGAAUGGACUGAAAGAUUAUGAGUAGAAACGGCGCCUCUGACAGUGCUUCGCCUCCUGAGUUCCAGUAGUAGAGGUGGAAGGACUGCAUCUCCCAUACACCACUCGGACACGCGUUGGGGCAGAAAUUUAGGACAAAGUUCGAAGAUGCUGAGCCCAUGACUGAUGUACCCCGCGGGUUCCUGCAGUGGGUGGGACAUGCAGCCCUCCCACAGCCUCACCAGGAUCACUCUGUUACUCUGUAUUUCAGGAGAUAAUAGAGCACGGAAGGAAGAUAUUUGUGUCGUGAUUCUGUUGGAAAUGAUUUUCUCUGGAUCUCCGAAUAUUGCAAAAAAUGUAAUGGUUGAUUCGGAGUUAUUCCAUGAAGGAACACAAUGUUUCCGCAUAUUUUGGGCAGACACCGGUUGCAAGUGGAGUCCCCAACAAUCAUCAGCUCACCCGAGCGACAGGGCGAUAUCCAGCCAAGUUAACCGCUACGGUGGGUACAAUCCGCUCUCCCUAGCCGCAAGUCACAGAGUGUUGUAAAAUUCCCGCAUAGAAAGUCAUCCACGCAUCCAAUAUCUCCAGGGCGGGAAUAGUGGGAGACUGACAGAACCGUACACUGCUGGGCUCCUACAUGGGCUGAUGUCAGUUUGUCAUUAAUUCCCAAUCAUCAAGCUUACGGCUGACGUGUUGUGGUAAACUAUGUAUACCUGUCUGGACAAGCCCCUCUGCUGACUGCUACAGUGGCUCCUCCCACAGACCCCUGUAUAAAGGUGAUUGGAAACAGUGCUCCCCCCUCAGUCGCCAAGAUGCCGUGCUCUAUUUUGCUGUUAAAAAAGCCUAAAGUUCACCUCCCGUCUCCGAGAGUUAUUGAUGGUGCAUCACAUGUGUGUUGUCAAUAGGGCCCUGGAAGAUGCUACAGAGAAGUGAGAACCGGUCAAGACGAAGAGAAGGACUCAUUUCCUGUUUUCUAUUGGACUGCAAACAGGACUGGGAAGGACUCUCAAAGUUAUGGUGAGAAAUCAGAAUUGCCGGCGUUGGGCUGGAAUGACCCUUCACUGUACAUCCUAAUGCUCAACUGUGGCUUCUCAGCAGCGGUCUUACAGCUUCUAGGCAGUGGAGGGGAGACUAACGGAUGUUAGUCGGGUUCUUACUAUCUCUUUUAGAGUCGAUAUAUCAUGCUAUAGGCAUGCUCUCCACCCCACCCGCCCACCGGCUCCUAAAUCGCUCUGCCAACACCAACUCUCUGUUUCUAUAUUCCUCCGCCCCCAACCUUUCCCGUGUUGUCAUGUCCUCCAACGAUUGCAUACCUUUUACCGUCUGUUGCCAUUCCCUUCUCUGUAAUGCCUUCUGGCUUAUAUACCUAUCUUGCAAUUUUACAACAAGUCCGUCAGGUGACAUAUAUGAAAUACUUUGUGAACGUUGGAUAAUCCUGUUGAAAAAGCAAUGAAGUUAAAAGGAGCGCAGAAGUAUUUACAAGGAAGUUUGCCAGGACACGAGGGCCUGCUAGAGGGAAGGUUUGAGACGGCGUCAGCCGUGCCGCUCUGAGUUCCACCGGGAACGGUAGAGGGUAUGGGCUCUGCUUUCAUUCGGGCACGGUACUCCUGAGCUGUUGGACAACUGUGUUCUGGCUGCUGAAGGUUGGGGGUGGGGUGCGGAAGUCUCUGGUCCCGACCCUAUUACGGUGGGUGUCGGGAAGACGUAGGGUAGUGGAGGGAUUCCGACUGCACCACCAACAAUGUGCUUAUCGGACUCAGGCCUCGGGAGACCACGAGGGAGAGGGUCCCAUACAACGUGAGCCGACUCACGGCAUUGCGUUCCAUGACGCUUCGAAGCGUUUCUUGUACGGGCUGCUCCUGAACACCUUUCACUUCCUUGCUUGCGUCUGCCGACCGGACUCACCUUGGCAGUCCGUGUUACCGUCAGGCAGCAGAGGAGGUCUCUUCAGGCAGGGCUGCUUCCAUUGUACAUUGGGAACCUCGGGUGGAAGGUGUUGCAUCGGGCUGUACUGUACAACUGAUUCUUGAGCAGUUUCACUGACAGCCCGUCCAGCUGUCCAUUCUGUGGGCAGGAGGAGUCGGUGUACCACGCAAACACGGAAUGUGAGAAGUUGUAGUCGCUCUUUUAGUUCCUCAGAGAGCUGCGGCUACGGUUCUGGCACUCCUCAGAUUUCUCAAAAGAGGAUUGCUUUCACCGCCCAAACAUGGACCUUAGGACGCUGAGGACGCUUAGGAGUGACUUGUGUGACUACAACCCUCCCACGGGCCGUGCAGACUGUAUAAACAUCUUGUUGUUUGGCACGGAGGGGUCUGGAACAACAUCUGUUAUCAACACAUUCCUCGCUGCUCUGUCUGAGGAUAGUGGAACUAUAACCCAGGUCCUGACCAGAGACAAUUCUGGCUCUCUAUCACAGCAGUUCAGAUCCUACAGAAAAGAGAAAUUACAGUUUUGGGAGCUACCUGGAUUGAGUGCACUGAAGAACGCAGAUCAGAGAAAGAGAGUGUUACAGAUGAUCCUGGAAGGAAGAGUUCCCCUUGGAACACAUUUGUAUGAAUUGGAACGUGACUGUAAUGUUAAUGAUCAUCCAGAAAAUCCGGAAAAUGAUAUUCAUGGAGUCGCAUUAAUUUUUGACGUCAGCACUAAGGACAUCAGUGACGACACAG